AGUGAGCGCUGGCGGUAGGCCUAACACAUGCAAGUCGAACGGCAGCACAGUAAGAGCUUGCUCUUACGGGUGGCGAGUGGCGGACGGGUGAGGAAUACAUCGGAAUCUACUUUUUCGUGGGGGAUAACGUAGGGAAACUUACGCUAAUACCGCAUACGACCUACGGGUGAAAGCAGGGGAUCUUCGGACCUUGCGCGAUUGAAUGAGCCGAUGUCGGAUUAGCUAGUUGGCGGGGUAAAGGCCCACCAAGGCGACGAUCCGUAGCUGGUCUGAGAGGAUGAUCAGCCACACUGGAACUGAGACACGGUCCAGACUCCUACGGGAUGCAGCAGUGGGGAAUAUUGGACAAUGGGCGCAAGCCUGAUCCAGCCAUACCGCGUGGGUGAAGAAGGCCUUCGGGUUGUAAAGCCCUUUUGUUGGGAAAGAAAAGCAGCAGGUUAAUACCCCGCUGUUCUGACGGUACCCAAAGAAUAAGCACCGGCUAACUUCGUG
RNAcentral lists this ribosomal RNA (492 nucleotides) under uncultured bacterium. Its description in RNAcentral is "partial 16S ribosomal RNA". It matches the Rfam family "Bacterial small subunit ribosomal RNA", at positions 29 to 507 of the family's 1533-position model. The record is from RNAcentral.